UAUUCGCCUGGGGACUACGAGCACCAGCUUAAAACCCAAAGGACUUGGCGGUGCUUUAGAUCCACCUAGAGGAGCCUGUUCUAGAACCGAUAAUCCCCGUUAAACCUCACCUUUCCUUGUCUUUUUCCGCCUAUAUACCGCCGUCGUCAGCUUACUCUAUGAAGAACCUGCAGUAGGCACAAUCGGUACAGCCCAAAACGCCAGGUCGAGGUGUAGCGUAUGGAAAGGGAAGAAAUGGGCUACAUUCAAUGUUUUAUUGAAUACGGAUGACACCCUGAAAAAAUGUCUGAAGGAGGAUUUAGCAGUAAGCAGGGAAUAGAGAGCCCUGCUGAAACUGGCCCUGAAGCGCGCACACACCGCCCGUCACUCUCCCCGAGCUAAUAAACUUUUAUUAACUAAAAAACAAAACCUGUAAAGGGGAGGCAAGUCGUAACAUGGUAAGUGUACCGGAAGGUGCACUUGGAUAAACUCAUGGUAUAGCUUAACAUUAAAGCAUCUCCUUUACACCGAGAUGAUACUCGUGAAAAUCGGGUUACCUUGAAGCCCAAUAGCUAGCCCAACCCCCCUAAACACAAUAAAAACCCCUUAAUAACCCCACAAGCACCAAAAAUGCAAAACAAACCAUUUUUCCCUCUUAGUAUAGGAGAUAGAAAAGAGCCCCGGCGCAAUAGAGAAAGUACCGCAAGGGAAAGCUGAAAGAGAAAUG
RNAcentral lists this ribosomal RNA (706 nucleotides) under Halichoeres prosopeion (twotone wrasse). RNAcentral describes it as "partial 12S ribosomal RNA". The stretch from base 1 to 475 matches the Rfam family "Bacterial small subunit ribosomal RNA", at positions 866 to 1533 of the family's 1533-position model. Lineage: Eukaryota; Metazoa; Chordata; Actinopteri; Labriformes; Labridae. The record is from RNAcentral.